GGUUAAGUUAAUAAGAGCGCACGGUGAAUGCCUAGGCACUAGGAGCCGAAGAAGGACGCGACGAACGGCGAAACGCCUCGGAGAGCAGUAAGUAAGCGACGACCCGGGGAUAUCCGAAUGGGGAAACCCACUAGUGGUCAUACACUAGUACCGAUGUGUGAAUACAUAGCACAUCAGGAGGCAGACCCAGGGAACUGAAACAUCUAAGUACCUGGAGGAAGAGAAAGAAAAAUCGAUUCCCGGAGUAGCGGCGAGCGAAAAGGGAAAAGCCCAAACCAGAGCAAUCUGGGGUUGUAGGACCUUCAACAAAUGAGAAAAAGGUCAUAUUAUAGACGAAUUACCUGGGAAGGUAAACCAAAGACGGUGACAGUCCGGUAGUUGAAAUAAUAUGAACUCUAGAAGGGAUCCUGAGUACGAUCGGACACGAGAAAUCCGGUCGGAAUCUGCGAGGACCAUCUCGCAAGGCUAAAUACUACCUAGUGACCGAUAGUGAACCAGUACCGUGAGGGAAAGGUGAAAAGAACCCCGGAAGGGGAGUGAAAGAGAACCUGAAACCGUGUGCUUACAAGUAGUCAGAGCCCGUUAAAGGGUGAUGGCGUGCCUUUUGUAGAAUGAACCGGCGAGUUACGAUAUCGUGCGAGGUUAAGAUGAAGAAUCGGAGCCGCAGCGAAAGCGAGUCUUAAUAGGGCGUAUAGUACGAUGUCGUAGACCCGAAACCGUGUGAGCUAGCCAUGUGCAGGAUGAAGGUUGGGUAACACCAACUGGAGGUCCGAACCAGGGUACGUUGAAAAGUGCUUGGAUGACGUGUGGCUAGAGGUGAAAUUCCAAUCGAACACGGAUAUAGCUGGUUCUCCCCGAAAUAGCUUUAGGGCUAGCCUCGUGAAAGAGUGUACCGGAGGUAGAGCACUGAAUGUGUGAUGGUCCCACCUCGGGAUACUGAGCAUAAUCAAACUCCGAAUGCCGGUAAUACAAACACGGGAGUCAGACUAUGGGUGAUAAGGUCCAUGGUCGAGAGGGAAAGAGCCCAGACCGCCAGCUAAGGUCCCUAAAUGUACGUUAAGUGGGAAAGGAUGUGGAGAUGCACAGACAACUAGGAGGUUGGCUUAGAAGCAGCCAUCCUUUAAAGAGUGCGUAAUAGCUCACUAGUCGAGUGACUCUGCGCCGAAAAUGUACCGGGGCUAAACGUACUACCGAAGCUGCGGAUUCAAAUGAAUGGUAGGGGAGCGUUCUAACAUCGGAGAAGGUAGACCGGAAGGACUACUGGAGAGGUUAGAAGUGAGAAUGCCGGUGUGAGUAGCGAAAAGAUAGGUGAGAAUCCUAUCCGUCGAAAACCUAAGGUUUCCAGAGGAAGGCUCGUCCGCUCUGGGUAAGUCGGGACCUAAGGUGAGGCUGAAAAGCGUAGCCGAUGGACAACAGGUAGAAAUUCCUGUACUGCCUAAAUGACUGAUGGAGUGACGGAGAAGGCUAGGGUGAGCGUGUGACUGGUAGAGCACGUCGAAGCAGUAAGGCUAAUUAGUAGGCAAAUCCGCUAAUUGUAAGGCUGAGCUGUGAUCGGGAAAGCACCUGAUGUCAUGCUUCCAAGAAAAACUUCUAGGGUUAAUCAUAUAGGUACCCGUACCGAUAACCGACACAGGUAGGUGAGGAGAGAAUCCUAAGACGCGCGAGAGAACUCUCGUUAAGGAACUCGGCAAAAUGACCCCGUAACUUCGGGAGAAGGGGUGCUUGUGAGAGCAAGCCGCAGUGAAAAGGCCCAAGCGACUGUUUAUCAAAAACACAGGUCUCUGCUAAACCGUAAGGUGAAGUAUAGGGGCUGACGCCUGCCCGGUGCUGGAAGGUUAAGGGGAAGUGUUAUACUUAGGUAGAAGCAUAGAACCGAAGCCCCAGUAAACGGCGGCCGUAACUAUAACGGUCCUAAGGUAGCGAAAUUCCUUGUCGGGUAAGUUCCGACCCGCACGAAAGGCGUAACGAUUUGGGCACUGUCUCAACGAGAGACUCGGUGAAAUCAUAGUACCUGUGAAGAUGCAGGUUACCCGCGACAGGACGGAAAGACCCCGUGGAGCUUUACUGUAGCUUGAUAUUGAACUUUGGUGUAAGAUGUACAGGAUAGGUAGGAGACAAAGAAGCAUGCACGCUAGUGUGUGUGGAGUCGACGUUGGGAUACUACCCUUGUUGCACUGGAGUUCUAACCUACAGCCGUAAUCCGGUUGGGGGACAGUGUCAGGUGGGCAGUUUGACUGGGGCGGUCGCCUCCCAAAGAGUAACGGAGGCGCUCAAAGGUUUCCUCAGACUGGUUGGAAAUCAGUCGAAGAGUGUAAAGGCAGAAGGAAGCUUGACUGCGAGACCUACAAGUCGAGCAGGGACGAAAGUCGGACUUAGUGAUCCGGCGGUACCGAAUGGAAGGGCCGUCGCUCAACGGAUAAAAGCUACCCCGGGGAUAACAGGCUGAUCACUCCCAAGAGUUCACAUCGACGGAGUGGUUUGGCACCUCGAUGUCGGCUCAUCGCAUCCUGGGGCUGAAGUCGGUCCCAAGGGUUGGGCUGUUCGCCCAUUAAAGCGGUACGCGAGCUGGGUUCAGAACGUCGUGAGACAGUUCGGUCCCUAUCCGUCGUGGGCGCAGGAAGUUUGAGAGGAGCUGUCCUUAGUACGAGAGGACCGGGAUGGACAUACCGCUGGUGUAUCAGUUGUCGUGCCAACGGCAUAGCUGAGUAGCUACGUAUGGAAGGGAUAAACGCUGAAAGCAUCUAAGCGUGAAGCCCCCCUCAAGAUGAGACUUCCCAUCCGUAAGGAGUAAGAACCCUUGAAGACGACAAGGUAGAUAGGUCAGAGGUGGAAGUGUGGUGACACAUGAAGCUGACUGAUACUAAUCGUUCGAGGACUUAACCUA
Non-coding RNA from Haloplasma contractile SSD-17B, 2884 nucleotides. The record is from Rfam. Lineage: Bacteria; Bacillati; Mycoplasmatota; Mollicutes; Haloplasmatales; Haloplasmataceae.